CGAAUGCUGACAUAAGUAACGAUAAAGCGGGUGAAAAGCCCGCUCGCCGGAAGACCAAGGGUUCCUGUCCAACGUUAAUCGGGGCAGGGUGAGUCGACCCCUAAGGCGAGGCCGAAAGGCGUAGUCGAUGGGAAACAGGUUAAUAUUCCUGUACUUGGUGUUACUGCGAAGGGGGGACGGAGAAGGCUAUGUUGGCCGGGCGACGGUUGUCCCGGUUUAAGCGUGUAGGCUGGUUUUCCAGGCAAAUCCGGAAAAUCAAGGCUGAGGCGUGAUGACGAGGCACUACGGUGCUGAAGCAACAAAUGCCCUGCUUCCAGGAAAAGCCUCUAAGCAUCAGGUAACAUCAAAUCGUACCCCAAACCGACACAGGUGGUCAGGUAGAGAAUACCAAGGCGCUUGAGAGAACUCGGGUGAAGGAACUAGGCAAAAUGGUGCCGUAACUUCGGGAGAAGGCACGCUGAUAUGUAGGUGAAGCGACUUGCUCGUGGAGCUGAAAUCAGUCGAAGAUACCAGCUGGCUGCAACUGUUUAUUAAAAACACAGCACUGUGCAAACACGAAAGUGGACGUAUACGGUGUGACGCCUGCCCGGUGCCGGAAGGUUAAUUGAUGGGGUCAGCGCAAGCGAAGCUCUUGAUCGAAGCCCCGGUAAACGGCGGCCGUAACUAUAACGGUCCUAAGGUAGCGAAAUUCCUUGUCGGGUAAGUUCCGACCUGCACGAAUGGCGUAAUGAUGGCCAGGCUGUCUCCACCCGAGACUCAGUGAAAUUGAACUCGCUGUGAAGAUGCAGUGUACCCGCGGCAAGACGGAAAGACCCCGUGAACCUUUACUAUAGCUUGACACUGAACAUUGAGCCUUGAUGUGUAGGAUAGGUGGGAGGCUUUGAAGUGUGGACGCCAGUCUGCAUGGAGCCGACCUUGAAAUACCACCCUUUAAUGUUUGAUGUUCUAACGUUGACCCGUAAUCCGGGUUGCGGACAGUGUCUGGUGGGUAGUUUGACUGGGGCGGUCUCCUCCUAAAGAGUAACGGAGGAGCACGAAGGUUGGCUAAUCCUGGUCGGACAUCAGGAGGUUAGUGCAAUGGCAUAAGCCAGCUUGACUGCGAGCGUGACGGCGCGAGCAGGUGCGAAAGCAGGUCAUAGUGAUCCGGUGGUUCUGAAUGGAAGGGCCAUCGCUCAACGGAUAAAAGGUACUCCGGGGAUAACAGGCUGAUACCGCCCAAGAGUUCAUAUCGACGGCGGUGUUUGGCACCUCGAUGUCGGCUCAUCACAUCCUGGGGCUGAAGUAGGUCCCAAGGGUAUGGCUGUUCGCCAUUUAAAGUGGUACGCGAGCUGGGUUUAGAACGUCGUGAGACAGUUCGGUCCCUA
This 1364-nucleotide ribosomal RNA is filed under the name Escherichia coli. RNAcentral describes it as "bacterial LSU rRNA". It matches the Rfam family "Bacterial large subunit ribosomal RNA", at positions 1291 to 2640 of the family's 2925-position model. The record is from RNAcentral. Lineage: Bacteria; Pseudomonadati; Pseudomonadota; Gammaproteobacteria; Enterobacterales; Enterobacteriaceae.